Molecule: ribosomal RNA, 460 nt
Filed under: uncultured bacterium
Lineage: Bacteria
Description: partial 16S ribosomal RNA
Rfam family: Bacterial small subunit ribosomal RNA
Source: RNAcentral
CCUACGGGAGGCAGCAGUGAGGAAUAUUGGUCAAUGGGCGGGAGCCUGAACCAGCCAAGUCGCGUGAGGGAAGACGGUCCUAUGGAUUGUAAACCUCUUUAGGCGGGGAGCAAUGCCGGGCACGUGUGCCCGGAGGGAGAGUACCCGCCGAAUAAGCAUCGGCUAACUCCGUGCCAGCCGCCGCGGUAAUACGGAGGAUGCGAGCGUUAUCCGGAUUUAUUGGGUUUAAAGGGUGCGUAGGCGGAUUUUUAAGUCAGCGGUAAAAUGUCCGGGCUCAACCCGGGCCGGCCGUUGAAACUGGGGAUCUUGAGUGGGCGAGAAGUAUGCGGAAUGCGUGGUGUAGCGGUGAAAUGCAUAGAUAUCACGCAGAACUCCGAUUGCGAAGGCAGCAUACCGGCGCCCGACUGACGCUGAGGCACGAAAGCGUGGGGAUCGAACAGGAUUAGAUACCCCAGUAGUC